AGUAGCGCAGCAAUGUUUUGCAAAGUCAAAAACAGCUGUUUGUGCGCCCUUGACGGAGGUGCUUGUGUGACAAUGGCUUAGGUUAUGUUAUUAAUUUGCAAAAUAUAAUUAAAUUACUAAUGGAUUUAUAAUAAAGACUACUAGUGCCAGUGAAUAUAAGUGUUCUUUAAAAUUAGUUCUGUGCGUAUACAGUCUUGGUCAUUCAUCCACCAUUUAUUUAUUAACUUUGCGAUAUUUUGCGUUUUAUUAAUUAAGCCAUUCAAUUUCAUUUCUAUGAAUACGCAUCACUUAAAGACGUAUAACACAGAACUAACUAAACCCAGUGUGUGCUAGUUAACAUAUAGUGAUACUGAUGUACUUAAAUAGAAGAAAAGUACUUAUUUUUGAAUAAAUCAAGACAAAAUGAGAAACGGCAAGCGUCCUAGCAUAGAUGAAGAAAAAGAGGAAUUGAACCCGGAAAAAAAUGGAUGGGCACGAGUGCGUCCAAGCCAGCAGUUUAACGUGGUGCGCCGCGUGUACCAGCAGGACGCGUUGAACGAAGACGCGGACUACCACGUGCCUGUUCGACCAUGGAAAUACCACGUGAAGAAAUGCUUUCGCGAAUGCGGCAUAUCAAAAUGCAUCUGUGGCAUCCUUCCCAUCAUGGACUGGCUUCCGAAGUACAAGCUCAAGGAGUACGCGAUUGGGGACUUGACUGCCGGAGCAACUACUGCCGUCAUGCAUAUUCCUCAGGGGAUGGCUUAUGCGAUGCUAGCGGAAGUGCCCCCAGUUGCGGGUCUGUACAUGGCAUUCUUCCCAGUAUUGAUCUACGUGCUGUUCGGGACCUCACCGCACAUCUCUUUGGGGACCUUCGCUGUGGCCUGUCUUAUGUCUGGAAAGGUUGUAAGCCAAUACGCGAGGAUGCCAGAAUUAGAUAAUAUUAGCAAUAUUACAAAUGUAACGAAUGUUGUUACAGAUUCAGAGAACGGAUCUAUGGAGUACACUCCAGAGCAAGUUCUCAGCGUGUUAUGUUUAACCGUCGGCAUUAUGCAGACUUGUAUGUGGAUGUUCCGACUCGGAGCGGUAUCGACGCUACUCUCAGAGCCGCUGGUGUCCGGGUUCACGACCGGCGCGGCCUUCAUCGUGAUCGCCUCGCAGCUCAAGGACCUGUUCGGUAUCAGGAUACCCAAGUUGUCGGGGAACCAUAAAGUCAUACUUACAGUGAUCGAGGUGUCGAAAGCGCUGCCGAACACCAACUUGGCGGCCGUAACCAUCUCCUUCGUCGUGUGUCUCGUGAUAGCCCUGAACAACGAGUUAUUCAAGCCGUGGGUGGCUAAACGCUGCCGGGUGCCAGUGCCCAUCGAACUACUGGCCAUAGUCAUAGGCACACUCAUCACUAAACUUAGCGGGUUGAAAGAAAAGUUCGGUAUAGCACUCGUCGGGGAGAUACCUACUGGGUUACCCACGCCAUUCGUGCCUCCGCUGGAGCUCAUGCCAUCAGUAGCAGUAGACUCCAUCACCAUAACCAUGGUGACAUACACCAUAUCCAUGUCCAUGGCGCUUAUAUUUGCGGCCAGAGACAAGUACGAGGUGGAUUCCAAUCAAGAGUUGUUGGCUCUGGGCGCCAGCAAUGUAAUGGGCUCAUUCUUUUGCUGCGCACCGAUCUGCGCGAGUCUGUCGAGAUCUUACAUCCAAUAUCAGGCGGGUGCCAAAACCAAUCUAACGCAAGUAGUGAGCGCGCUGCUGAUAUUGUGCGUCCUGCUCUUCUUAGGCCCGUUCUUUGAGGACCUGCCCCGCUGCGUGCUCGCCUCGAUCAUUGUGGUGUCUCUAAAGGGGAUGUUAUUACAAGUUUUGGACCUCAAGAGGUUCUGUUAUCUGAGUAAAUUGGACGCAGCCGUUUGGCUUAUUACCUUCCUCAUGACUACUCUCGUCAACAUCGAUUACGGGUUAGUAGCCGGUCUAUUAGCGAGUGUGGGGGCGCUGUUCAUUCGCUCUCAGAAGCCGUACACCUGCCUGCUGGGGCGAGUGCUGGAGACAGACCUGUACCUGGAUAUCAAGCGGUACCGAGCCGCCGAAGAGCUCCCUGGAAUCAAGAUAUUCCACUACUGCGGCGGCCUCAAUUUCGCCACCAAGAACAUCUUCCGGGAGACAAUCUUCCGCAAAGUUGGCUACAUGAAGCCUGUCGACCUCACACCUGAGGACCACGACAGCAACAAUGGGACCAUGACCAAGAGUGAGAGUUACGUGUGGGACCCCAGUAUUGGGCAGAAGGUCCACUGCGUGAUAAUAGACGCGUCUGCGCUUUCGUACGUGGACGCACCGGGAGUCAAGACGCUCGUGGUAGUGUCGAAGGAGUUGGAGGCCAGUAACAUUAUGGUGCUUCUAGCGGGGGCCAAUGGUCCAAUGCUAGAAAUGAUCCACCGCUACAACGAGUCGGAGCCCACCAACCAGCUCCGUAUAGACACGUUCCCCACCGUCCACGACGCCGUGGUCUACUACAAAGUACUCGAAGCUAAGAGGGGAGCCUACCUACCCGUACCUCUCACUAUCAAUGAGUGACCUUACUAAGGGCCAGUUGCACCAACCACAUUUGACAGACUGAUCAACGUCAGCCGGCGCCCCCCGGCGCUUUACUAUGAAACUUUCCAUACAUAAAAAUUUAGCGAACUCUUUAACGAUCCGAACAGUUUGGUGCAACUGACCCUUACUCGAGUAGAGGUAGGGUUAAACUAGGGACACUGUUCAACUAAGGGCCACUUGCACCAUUUACUUACCCGGGGUUAACCGGUUAAACUUCGUGUUACCAUGGUUACUAGUACAAUUUGACACAGGGUUAACGGUUUAACCGGUUAAACCUGGGGUAGUGGGAUGGUACAAGUGGCACUAAGGAUCAAAUCAAAUUAACUCCGUGGUCUACUACAAAGUACUUAAAGUUAAGAGGGAAGACGACACAGUCCCUGUCACUAUCAAUGAGUGACCUUACUAACACGAGUAGAGGUAGUGUUAAACUCGGGACACUGGUCAACUAAGGAUCAAAUCAAAUUAACUCCGUGGUCUACUACAAAGUACUUAAAGUUAAGAGGGAAGACGACACAGUCCCUGUCACUAUCAAUGAGUGACCUUACUAACACGAGUAGAGGUAGGGUUAAAUUAACGCAGUAGUCCACUACGAAGUAAACGAAGCUAAAAGGGUGACAAUACAGUCCCUGUCACUAUCAAUGGGACCUUACUAACACAAGUAGAGGUAGUGUUAAACUCGGGACACUGGUCAACUAAGGAUCAAAUCAAAUUAACUCCGUGGUCUACUACAAAGUACUUAAAGUUAAGAGGGAAGACGACACAGUCCCUGUCACUAUCAAUGAGUGACCUUACUAACACGAGUAGAGGUAGGGUUAAACUCGGGACACUGUUCAACUAAGGAUCAAAUCAAAUUAACUCCGUGGUCUACUACAAAGUACUUAAAGUUAAGAGGGAAGACGACACAGUCCCUGUCACUAUCAAUGAGUGACCUUACUAACACGAGUAGAGGUAGUGUUAAACUCGGAACACUGUUGUCUAUGACCUUACUAACACAAGUAGAGGUAGUGUUAAACUCGGAACUUUGUUUCUGUUUAUUUGUGCCUGCUCAAGAACUGGACAAGCAUCUUUAUGGUUUGUUCUUCAAAAUGAAAAAGUAAUCGUCCUAGGUAGGCUAGGUAGGUAGGGUUCGGAAAACUGUGGCUCGCUGAAAUGCCAAAAACUGGACCUUUCUAUUAUUAAAGUUACUAAAUAUAACUAAGAUUGAUCUAGAAAUUAAGAUAUGCGCUCUUCAGAGACAAUCCUUCUCAAAAGUUUGCCGAUGUUUGCCGUUUCCUAGAGUCUAGAAGUACCUACAGUAAAAGAAUUUAAUUUCCGACCCAUUUGGUACAUUGUCUCAGUGACAAUAGUAUUGAGGUUUCUAGCGACUUUCAAAUAGACAAAGUACGAAAUGGGUCGGAAAAUUAUUCUACUGUACCUACUCGAAUUUUGUGUCAAUAAGCUUCUUUGUCUUCUAAGUGCCUCAAUAUCUGUAAGCUACAUGCUUUGAGAGAGCCAUGAAUGUAAAUAAACUAUAACGACUACCAGGAAUGAUUAAAUUCUCGAAUUACGUGUAAAUUAUAUUCGGUCAAAAUUUAAUUGGCACCGAUUGAUUAUUUUAUAUUUAUUUUUGAGUUUGUCAUAAAUAAAAAAUGAGAACUUGAUAUAUUCUUAUACCAGUAAGUUGUUACUUAUUUGUUAUAGGAAAAAUACUGGGAAAUCUAACCUAUAGAAAAUACAGAUAGUGUUCCUGUCUAGAAUAAUGUUUUAAUUGUAAUGCAAUAAGGAAUAGAAUUCCUGGACAAUAAAAUAAAAUAAGAAAAUUAUUUUGAUUUUGUUAGCUUAAAGACAAAUAGGUUUGACAAGAAAAAGUUACAAAUAAACUAUAUUCUUUUCUCAAAAUAUUACGCGAUAUAUUUGUGCUAAAAUAGUACUUUUGUAUUUAAAUUAUUGAUAAGAUGGUCCGUCCGGCUGUUAGUAAGUUUAGGUUUAAAGUUUAACGAGCAAUAUUUAUUAUAGUUAUAGGGGUGGUGGCCGAGUGGAUAUGACGUCCGACUUUCGAUCCGGAGGUCGCGGGUUCAAAUCCUGGCUCGUACCAAUGAGUUUUUCGGAACUUACGUACGAAAUAUCAUUUGAUAUUUACCACUAGCUUUUCGGUGAUGGAAAACAUCGUGAGGAAACCUGCAUACAUCUGCGAAGAAAUUCAAAGGUGUAUGUGAAGUCCCCAAUCCGCAUUGGGCUAGCGUGGGGACUAUAGCCCAAGCCCUCUCGCGCAUGAGGGGAGGCCUGUGCCCAGCAGUGGGAAGUAUAUAGGCUGAAAUUAUUAUUUAUUUUUUUAUUAUUAUUUAUUAUAAUCAAAUUAUAAAAUAAGUGUGCUUUUAGAUACUAUUCUUAACUUAGUUGACAUUUGGUAAACCAGAUUCAACUUCCAAACCUUUGAACAUCUCAUUAUAACAAAAAAAUUCUUGUAAAUAAAAUAAAUAGUAUCCGAAAGUGUUUAAUAGAUUGUUUAAUUUUAGAAAUGAGAUUCCUUGUCUACACUUAUUUUUUACUUAUUAGUUAGAGCAGAAGGGACACUUUUUGACAUAAUAUAUAAUAUAUGUAUAUACCUAUUUCAUGUAAAGCCUGUGCCAUAGACAGUCAAAAGUAGAAGUACAUAGUUGAAAUUAUAUAUAAAAGAACACAGAGAAUUACAAUUACAGCCACAAUAAUGUAUCCUUUGAAAUUGUUUUUUUAUUUAUUUAUUUAUUACUUAAUUUGCACAUUGGGUAAAACCUCAUUUUAGACUUGACCUCGUUGGCGCUAUUAAAAGUUAAGACGAAUGUCCCUUUUGCCUUAUAUUUUGGCCGUUCUCGUAUCUGUUCUACAAGCAUCUCCCGGCUGUGCUAGUGAUAAGUUCCGACGGUCAAAAAUUCAAAUGGUGCUUUUUCAAUACUAAUGUUUAUAAAAAUAUACUAUAACUGUGUUUCAGUCAUCCCAUACCGCAACGCAAUCAAAACGUGUAUGACACACAAGGCGAGUAAAUAUUUAGUACUCGCUAAGAUGAGUAAUGCGUAAAGCGGUACAACAUAUUGUAGCCGCAUUUUUGACUGCUGAAGUAAAUGACGUUAAUGCUCUGAUCCAUACAGAGCCAUAUGCUUCAGCUGUCGGCUAAUGUGAAAGUAUAGAGUAUUGUCAAUUACUAGAGGGCAGUUACAAUUUGGUGCCGUGACCAGGAUAAUUAUAUUUAAAACAAACCAAGCGAACUCUGAUUUGACUUUGCAGUUACAAAGUGUGGCAAUGCCACCAUCUAUAUCAAAUUCCUAUAAAUAUUGACGUUUUUAGUCGCACUGCCACACGUUUUGUUAAAGUCGAUGCAAAAUUUUAACUCUUAAGUAUAUUAAGUUCAUAUUUGUUCAUUGUUCAGAAGAAGUUUUGUCUGUCAAAUGAGAUGACUGAAGUCCAGUUAGAACUGUUAUUAGUACGUUUAGUAAAGUACGGUUUUUCCUACAGAUUAUAGCUAAUUUCAUACUCGAGUGUACUUACUGGUAUCGAUAUUGGGGCAAUUUUACCUGACUGAUUUUACAGAAUCCCUAGUGUACAUUUCGGGUCUCUAUUGUUUCCCAAAUAGUUUUAAGCCAUAAUAUAUUGUUUGUCCGAAUUUUCGUUAGUCAUAAUUGGUUUUUCUCAGAAACGCGUAACUUUUCAGGAUUGCCAUAAAACAAACCUAACCUAACCUAUCUAUAGAAUAACCUUACGAAAAUUCUGGAAAAUUAACGGUUUCAGUUUUAUGACUACACAUCGGUAACUCGUGGCAUUUAGGUAGCACUUAAAAGAUUAGUGAAGAGCACACAUCGGUAACUCGUGGCAUUUAGGUAGCAGGCACAGACUAGUGAUGUGACAAUGUUCUUCCUAUACGAGUCGAGAAAAAAAAACACUAAAAAACGGAAAUUAAUUAAACUAAUCUUUUAAGUGCUACCUAAAUGCCACGAGUUACCGAUGUAUAUUUAUGACUAACGAUAAUAUGACAAACAAUACAUUAUGACUUAAAACUUUAUGGGAAACAAAGGGCCCCGUAAAUUUCAUUCGAUAGCGUGACGAGGGUUCGCGUUUGCGUUGUCUAUUUUUGUAUGGGAUAUGGAACGGCGCGCCAAGCGGGACGUUUUGGAAACUCACAAUCCCAUACAAAAUGACACUUAACGCAAAUGCGUACGUCACGUCACGUUAUCGAAUGAAAUUUACACUACGGGACUAGAAAAAAUAUAAUAAAGUUAGUUACACAGAAAAGUAAAAUUGCCUCUUCGGUACUUUACAUGUAUUUUAAGAGAAUGUACAAUGCUUAUUUGAUUAAAUGAAUUUAUUUAUAGGUUGUUAAUUUUAGAUUGAACAUUGUUAUUGUGAUACUUAGUACCUAAUAUAUUUUUUGUACUUAUGUAAUAAAUAUGUUGAAUUAUCA
Molecule: RNA transcript, 6970 nt
Organism: Cydia splendana
Lineage: Eukaryota; Metazoa; Arthropoda; Insecta; Lepidoptera; Tortricidae
Gene: Prestin
Gene name: prestin
Exons: 20
Source: RefSeq, a predicted model, not a curated record